UACAGAGGGGGCAAGCGUUGUUCGGAAUUACUGGGCGUAAAGGGCGCGUAGGCGGCCUGUUAAGUCAGACGUGAAAUCCCUCGGCUCAACCGGGGAACUGCGUCUGAUACUGGCGGGCUUGAAUUCGGGAGAGGGAUGUGGAAUUCCAGGUGUAGUGGUGAAAUGCGUAGAUAUCUGGAGGAACACCGGUGGCGAAGGCGGCAUCCUGGACCGACAUUGACGCUGAGGCGCGAAAGCCAGGGGAGCAAACGGG
RNAcentral lists this ribosomal RNA (253 nucleotides) under uncultured bacterium. Its description in RNAcentral is "partial 16S ribosomal RNA". It matches the Rfam family "Bacterial small subunit ribosomal RNA", at positions 524 to 776 of the family's 1533-position model. The record is from RNAcentral.